This 107-nucleotide non-coding RNA is filed under the name uncultured Streptococcus sp. Lineage: Bacteria; Bacillati; Bacillota; Bacilli; Lactobacillales; Streptococcaceae. The record is from RNAcentral.
AUGAUGGUUUGGUUGCUUUUCAUUAUAGGUCAUAUGGAACUUUUUUCUACAAGAAAAUAGGUUUCAUAAUAUCUAUAAGAGAUUUAUCCUAUAUAAAAUCAUAGAGC